AACGAGAUAGCAAUAUCUAGUGGCAAACGGGUGAGUAAUAUAAAGGAAUCUCCCCAGCAGUAAGGAAUAACUUUGGGAAACCAAAGCUAAUACCAUAUAUCACCGUCGCAAGACGGGAAAGAUUUAUCGCUGUUGGAUGAGCCUUUAUCGGAUUAGCUAGUUGGUAGGGUAAUGGCCUACCAAGGCAAUGAUCCGUAGCUGGUCUGAGAGGAUGAUCAGCCACACUGGAACUGAGACACGGUCCAGACUCC
Molecule: ribosomal RNA, 251 nt
Filed under: uncultured bacterium
Lineage: Bacteria
Description: partial 16S ribosomal RNA
Rfam family: Bacterial small subunit ribosomal RNA
Source: RNAcentral